UCCUACGGGGGGCAGCAGUGAGGAAUUUUCCGCAAUGGGCGAAAGCCUGACGGAGCAAUACCGCGUGGAGGAUGACGGCCUUCGGGUUGUAAACUCCUUUUAAAUGGGAAGAUUAUGACGGUACCAUUUGAAUAAGCAUCGGCUAACUACGUGCCAGCAGCCGCGGUAAUACGUAGGAUGCAAGCGUUAUCCGGAAUUACUGGGCGUAAAGCGUGUGUAGGUGGCUUUUUAAGUUAAAUGUUAAAUCUACAGGCUCAACUUGUAGACCGCAUUUAAUACUGGAAGGCUUGAGGAUGGAAGAGGUAUGCGGAAUUAGUGGUGGAGCGGUGAAAUGCGUAGAUAUCACUAAGAACACCAAUGGCGAAGGCAGCAUACUGGGCCAUUCCUGACACUGAGACACGAAAGCGUGGGGAGCGAACAGGAUUAGAUACCCUGGUAGUCCU
Molecule: ribosomal RNA, 443 nt
Filed under: uncultured bacterium
Lineage: Bacteria
Description: bacterial SSU rRNA
Rfam family: Bacterial small subunit ribosomal RNA
Source: RNAcentral